RNAcentral lists this ribosomal RNA (2580 nucleotides) under Triticum aestivum (bread wheat). Its description in RNAcentral is "partial small subunit ribosomal RNA". Lineage: Eukaryota; Viridiplantae; Streptophyta; Magnoliopsida; Poales; Poaceae. The record is from RNAcentral.
AUGUCGACAAUGAAGGGCGUCGACGACGAGUUCCUCGGCGUCGGCGACAAGCCAGGGCUGGAUAUCUGGUGUAUUAUGGGCACCAAUGUAGUCCCAAUUGCAAAAUCCUUCCAUGGCAAGUUCUACACUGGGAACUGCUAUAUCAUACUCCAUACAGCUGAAGUCAAGAGCGGAACUCGAAGGCAUAAUGUGCAUUACUGGAUAGGGGAGGAGGCCAAAGAGGAAGAUUGUUUGAUGGCCUCUGACAAGGCCGUUGAGUUGGAUGCGGCGCUGGGCUCUCACGCGAUCCAGUACAGGGAAACACAAGGCGAAGAAUCCGACAAGUUCUUGUCAUACUUCAAACCAUGCAUCAUCCCUGUACAAGGUAGCUUCUCUUCGCACUGGAGAAGAUCUGGGGAUGAAUGCGACGGGACCACGAUGUUUCGGUGCGAAGGAGAGCAUGUAGCUCGUCUAAGAGAAGUUCCAUUUUCGCGGUCCUCUCUGGAUCAUAAGGCGGCAUUUAUAGUGGACACACCAUCCAAGAUUUUCCUUUUCAGCGGUUGUCAUUCUUGCAUACAAACAAGGGCUAUGGCACUAGAUGUCAUAAAGCAUCUGAGAGAAAACCGACACUGCGGCAGAUGUGAGAUCGGGAUAAUAGAGGAUGGAAAGCUUGCUGGUGAUUCAGAUGCUGGUGAGUUUUGGAACCUCUUUGGAGGCUAUGCGCCUAUUCCUCGUGAUGUACCAGACGCAGCCAAUGGGGGACCGAUGACUACCUCACCCAAGAAACUUUUUUGGAUUAACAAGAGAAUCCUUGUUCCCAUGGAGACACAUGUUUUAGAAAGAGAAAUGCUGAAGUCCGACAGAAGUUACAUACUGGACUGUGGAGCUGAAAUAUUCUUGUGGAUAGGGAUGACAACACUAGUUUCAGAGAAGAAGACAUCUGCUACCGCAUUAGAGGAGUACGUACACUUACAAGACAGAUCAUCAAUUGGCCGCACUGUUAUAAUGACUGAAGGUCAUGAAAUUGUCGAUUUUAAGCUGCAUUUUCAGCAUUGGCCUAAGAAUGUUGUGCAGAAGUUGUACGAGGCAGGGCGGGAGAAAGUGGCAGCAAUUUUCAAGCAUCAGGGAUAUGAUGUUGCAGAAAUUCCAGAUGAUAAACCUCGGCAGCUCAUCAGUAGUAAUGGUUGUCUGAAGGUCUGGCUGGUGGACCGUGGUUGUGUAACACUCCUUUGCACCGAGGAGCUGGAGCAACUUUACAACGGAGAUUGCUAUAUCAUACAGUACAGCUACGCUGAAGAUGGAAAAGAUUAUCAUCUGUUCCUUGCUUGGUUUGGACAAGAUAGUGUACAGGAAGAUAGAGUUGCCACAGUUUCAUUGAUGCCAAGCAUGGCUGAUUCAGUCAAAGGACGUGCAGUUGUGGGGCAAGUGCUUGAGGGCAGAGAACCAGAGUUGUUUUUCCUAGUAUUCAAGUCACUGAUCAUAUUCAAGGGUGGCAGGAGUACUGCAUAUAAGAACUCUAUUCUGCAGAAAAGCAAUAGAACUGAACUGUACCAGAAAGAUGGGGCCGCAUUAUUCCGGGUUCAAGGGCUGAGACCUGAUUGCAUACAAGCCAUUCAGGUUCAUCUGGCUGCAAGUUCGCUUAAUUUGUCACACUGUUACAUUUUGCAAGACGGCGCUUCUUUCUUUACAUGGCUAGGAAGUCUUUCUUCACCCAGUGACCAUGUUCUACUUGAUAGAAUGAUGGAUAAGUUGUGUCCACUGAAGCAAUCAUUGUUAGUAAGAGAAGGUUCUGAACCUGACCGUUUCUGGACAACAUUAGGAGGAAGAUCAGAAUACUCCAAAGAAAAGUGUGUCAAGGGUUGGCCAACAGAUCCACAUCUGUAUACGUGUACUUUUCAACAAUGUCUGUUCAAGGCAAAGGAGGUAUUCAGCUUCUCGCAGGAUGACCUGGCAACUGAGGAGACGUUGAUACUGGACUGCGGCGAACAAAUCUUCGUCUGGGUUGGACUUCACUCAGGUGUCACGUCCAAGGAGCACGCCCUCGACUUCGGCAAGAUGUUCCUUCAGGCAGGCAUUGCUUGGGAUGGACCACGGUCGAUCACUGACACAACCGUGUAUGCUGUCGCGGAAGGCGAUGAACCUGCAUUUUUCACCAGCUUCUUCAACUGGGAUAGCUCAAAACAAGCUGCAGCUAUGCUGGGCAACUCAUUUGAGAGGAAGCUGGCAAUGCUGAAAGGGCUUUCACCAAAAUUGGAGUCACCGGACAGGAGCUUGCGCAAGUCUUCGUCGCGAAGACAGGGGAUGUUGUCAGAGCCGACGACGCCGGAGCAGCAGCAGCAGCAGCAGCCGGCCGCGAGGAGGACGUUCGGGUCUGCCUCUGCCGGGAGGACCGCUAGGGAGAGACUGCCGCCAUCUUCAUCGGCAGCGUCGGCGUCGCCGGCAACACCACCCUGGUCUCUCAAGAGCCGCACGUCGUCGUCGCCGUCGACGCCAGCAACGGCGCGGCGGCUCUUCCCUUCCUCCUCGCUGCACGCGCCGGGGACAGCGGCCGCACAUCUCCCCUCCCCUACGGCCAUAGGGAGUCCUGGUCGACGACGGUGA